This 3469-nucleotide unclassified non-coding RNA is filed under the name Mizuhopecten yessoensis (Yesso scallop). RNAcentral's name for it is "ubiquitin-associated and SH3 domain-containing protein B-like, transcript variant X1". The record is from RNAcentral. Lineage: Eukaryota; Metazoa; Mollusca; Bivalvia; Pectinida; Pectinidae.
AAGAUGGCCUCUGGUGUACUGCCGACCAGACAUCGGAGAGAUGAAUCAAUCAAACGCCAGAAAUCAAAGUCAGACCGGGACAUUUUAUUACAGAUGGGAUUUUCAAAACAACGAGCGGAAAAGGCAAUAGCAUCUACAGGAGAUCGUGGAGUACAACUGGCAUCCGACUGGCUCCUGUCACAUGUGAACGACCCACACCUGGAUGAGAACAAAGGCCGCGAAUACAUCCUCUAUCUUGUCCCUCAGGGAGCACUGCAGAAACAGAUUGUAGAAUUUGCUGAGAAGUCCCUCAACAGCUGUGGAUGGAAUGGAUCUCAUGCAUACUUCCCACAUAUCACACUCUGUCCAUUCUUCACUGUUGAGGAUUGUAAAGUACAUGAGGUCACCUCUGCUGUUCAGAAGUUACAGACCAAACUACGCCAGGCACCAGACAGAAUGAAGCUGGACUUUUUCAGUCAAGUGAAUUUCAUUGGACUGUUUGUACAGGAAGAUUUCUAUAGGUUCCUGUCAGAUGUUACCAAUCAAGUUGGAGAUGAACUUAACAAAUCAGGAGUAAAGUUUGAACCACACAAGAAACAGCUUCAUAUGACUCUGGCCUACCAGUACCAAGUCGACCAGCAUGAUAAACUGCUCACUAUGGCCAAGGAAAUCAAUCUUGAUGCUGAUGUACGCUGGGACUUCCGACUUUACUCCCGUGAUAUCACUAGGGCACACUGUGAGGUGCGUAAGGUUUUGAAAGCGUACACCACACAGCAUGGAGACGAGUUGGAGUUAAUUGAUGGGGACUUUGUGUAUGUGGAGCCCUCAGAGAUCCAGGAGAGUAAGGAUGGCUGGUAUAAAGGAAUAUCAUGGCUAACUGGAAACUCUGGAUACUUCCCGGGAACCUACACACAGAGGACCGCCGACACCCGUACCUGGACGUUACACAGGUCUUUACCUAUGGAGGCUAUGGUAGAGCUCCAUCAGGGGGCCACACCCAUCAAUCCAAAAGGAGUACCACCCCUCAUUACCCAGGAUGCUACACCUCUCGUCUCUUUGGGAGCCACACCAACUUACCCUAAAGGUGCAAACCCCUCUAUCCCUCAUGGGACCACACCUCUUAUCCCUCAGGGAGCCACGCCCAUCAUUCUUCAAAGUAAUGGGUUUACCUUGGAGGUCCUGGAUGAUACCUACGACAAUCUGUGGCAUGACAAUAAAGGAUACGCACAGGUGAAGAAGAGAUCCCCAUUAUCAGAACCAGACCGCUGUGAACCACGCAAACUGUUUGUAGUGAGACACGGCGAGCGGGUAGAUUUUACUGUGGGAAAGGACUGGUUUGACAUGUGUUUUGAUGAGGAAGGUAACUACAAAAGGAACAAUUUGAAUUUACUCAGGGAACUGCCAAAAAGGAAAACACACCUGGAAUAUAUCAAAGACCCACCCCUCACUGUCAUAGGUCACUAUCAAGCUAAACUUACAGCGGAGAACCUGCUGGAGAGCGGAGUGACAGUGUUCUGUAUAUAUUGUUCCCCCUCCCUGCGAUGUGUACAAACUGCCACAGAGAUCUUCAAAGUGUUUAAUUUACCAUGGAAGUUGAGAAUCGAGCCGGGCCUGUACGAGUGGACAGGGUACCAGGCAGGUGUCCCGCGGUGGAUGUCACCCUCCGAACUCUUGCAGCAUGGCUACCCUGUGGAUACAACCUAUGUGCCACAAUACCCCAGAGAGAAACUCCAGGAAGAUGAACCAGUGGAGGUGUUAUAUGCCCGGUCGACCGAGACUUCCAAACAGAUCCUCAAAAACCACGAACUAGAAGGUGGGAAUCUGUUAUUUGUUGGACAUGCGGGAACGCUGGAACUGAGUACAAGACUGUUAGUGGGAAGAGGAGCUCGAAACCUAAAUGACUAUAAACAGAUCCUGCCUAAAGUGCCAUACUGCUGUCUUUGUGCCAUCGAGGAAGAUCCAGCAAGAAAGAAGUGGACAUUUAUAGAGCCGCCAGCUUUACCCCUGACACACAGCCGUAACUACAGCCAGAAGAUUAUAACAUUGCGGCAGUAGGUUUUACUGUAUAACAGGUCUACCCCUGACACACAGCCCUAACUACAGCCAGAAGAUUAUAACAUUGCUACAGUAGGUUUCACUGUAUAACAGCUCUACCCCUGACACACAGCCAUAACUACAGCCAGAAGAUUAUAACAUUGCUACAGUAGGUUUUUCUGUAUAACAGGUCUCCCCCUGACACACAGCCGUAACUACAGCCAGAGGAUUAUAACAUUGCUACAGUAGGUUUUACUGUAUAACAGGUUUACCCCUGACACACAGCCCUAACUACAGCCAGAGGAUUAUAACAUUGCGGCAGUAGGUUUUACUGUAUAACAGGGCUACCCCUGACACACAGCCGUAACUACAGCCAGAAAAUUAUAUCAUUGCGGCAGUAGGUUUUACUGUAUAACAGGUCUACCCCUGACACACAGCCGUAACUACAGCCAGAAAAUUAUAUCAUUGCGGCAGUAGGUUUUACUGUAUAACAGGUCUACCCCUGACACACAGCCGUAACUACAGCCAGAAAAUUAUAUCAUUGCGGCAGUAGGUUUUACUGUAUAACAGGUCUACCCCUGACACACAGCCGUAACUACAGCCAGAGGAUUAUAACAUUGCGGCAGUAGGUUUUACUGUAUAACAGGGCUACCCCUGACACACAGCCGUAACUACAGCCAGAAGAUUAUAUCAUUGCGGCAGUAGGUUUUACUGUAUAACAGGUCUACCCCUGACACACAGCCGUAACUACAGCCAGAGGAUUAUAACAUUGCUACAGUAGGUUUUACUGUAUAACAGCUCUCCCCCUGACACACAGCCGUAACUACAGCCAGAAGAUUAUAUCAUUGCGGCAGUAGGUUUUACUGUAUAACAGGUCUACAUCUACUGACUCAGUCUGUACCACACAAACAGUCUGUAUUUAGUAGCAAUAAAGGGAUUAAAAUCAUUAUAUACUAGGAAAUUUUCACCAAAUAAAACCUGUACGCUUCACAUAAAUAUCCAUACCUGGUAUUUACUCUGUGUGAAUUACAGCUUUCACAUGUAAUGACUAUACAUGUAUAUGGUAUGCUGUGAACAAAUAUUUACUGUCAUCAUAACAAAGGUGUAAAGGACAUUUCCCUGGUAUACAGUAGUACUGAUCCUGUAUACAGUAGUACUGAUCCCAUAUACAGUAGUACUGAUCCCGUAUACAGUAGUACUGAUCAAGUGUACAGUAGUACUGAUACAGUAAACAGUAGUACUGAUCCUGCGUACAGUAGGACUGAUCCCGUAUACAGCAGUACUGAUCCCGUAUACAGUAGUACUGAUCCAGUAUACAGUAGUACUGAUCCCGUAUACAGUAGUACUGAUCCCGUAUACAGUAGUACUAAUCGUGUAUACAGUAGUACUGACCCCAUAUACAGUAGUACUGAUCGUGUAUACAGUAGUACUGAUCGUGUAUAAACUAGUACUGAUC